Molecule: long non-coding RNA, 685 nt
Organism: Cucumis melo (muskmelon)
Lineage: Eukaryota; Viridiplantae; Streptophyta; Magnoliopsida; Cucurbitales; Cucurbitaceae
Exons: 2
Source: RefSeq, a predicted model, not a curated record
UUCUUUGAAAAUUUUGAUAUUGACCAACAAUACUAUCCUUGUUGUGCUUUAUCCUGUUUCUUAAUUCCCAUUUAUAUGUGAUGUUCGCUUGUGAUUUUCAGGAUGAUCAUGUUGCUUUUUGCAGCAAAUUCUGGUUUCAUUUUACUCACUCAGCUAUGUCUAAACUUUCUGUUCGUUUUCAGACUUUGAUUCCUCAAUGAGAUAUUCAAAUGAGGUAGAAGCCACACUACUAAAGCACUUAAAAGAAAAAAAAGAACACUUCUCAGGAUUCGAUAACUGUGAGGUAGAUGAUCAAACCAUCAACCUUUGGAAUGAUAAUUGAUAUCUAUAUUUACCUAGCUAUGCACGUUGUAAAAUAUUAUCUCGGAUAUUAAUGUGCUUCUAGUUGUAUAGGCUUUGUACAUGCCCCAAGUGUUCUAUUUCUGUAACCAUGUGUAAAUCAAUGCCCGUAUAGGAGAUGGAGACCAUUCCGUUCGUUAUCCAAAAUGUGCAUAGUUUGGGAGAUAGUAUUGUAUUGAAUUGGAUUGGCAGGAGACCCUAUGUAACGAGCUUGUUCUGAUGGGUUCACUUUUUUUCUACAAUUUGGUUUAUGGACCUUUGUCUAUUGUUAUCAUUGCAAUGAUUUUGUUGUCUAUUCAGCAUUUUCAAUUUUCAGAAGUUGAAGGCACCCUUUUUUUUAAGGAAA